Molecule: ribosomal RNA, 253 nt
Filed under: uncultured bacterium
Lineage: Bacteria
Description: partial 16S ribosomal RNA
Rfam family: Bacterial small subunit ribosomal RNA
Source: RNAcentral
UACAGAGGUGGCGAGCGUUACUCGGAUUUAUUGGGUGUAAAGGGCAAGUAGGCGUCUUGACAAGUUAGGGGUGAAAUCCUGCAGCUCAACUGCAGAACUGCUCUUAAAACUGUUGAGAUUGAGUUUGGGAGAGGAAAGCGGAAUUCUCGGUGUAAGAGUGAAAUCUGUAGAUAUCGAGAGGAACACCAGUGGCGAAGGCGGCUUUCUGGCCCAGUACUGACGCUGAAUUGCGAAAGCUAGGUGAGCAAACAGG